RNAcentral lists this ribosomal RNA (350 nucleotides) under Asaia bogorensis. RNAcentral's name for it is "bacterial SSU rRNA". It matches the Rfam family "Bacterial small subunit ribosomal RNA", at positions 35 to 411 of the family's 1533-position model. Lineage: Bacteria; Pseudomonadati; Pseudomonadota; Alphaproteobacteria; Acetobacterales; Acetobacteraceae. The record is from RNAcentral.
GCUGGCGGCUGCUUUAUACAUGCAGUCGCACGGACCCUUCGGGGUGAGUGGCGGACGGGUGAGUAUCGCGUAGGGAUCUAUCCACGGGUGGGGGAUAACAUCGGGAAACUGGUGCUAAUACCGCAUGAUACCUGAGGGUCAAAGGCGCAAGUCGCCUGUGGAGGAGCCUGCGUUCGAUUAGCUUGUUGGUGGGGUAAAGGCCUACCAAGGCGAUGAUCGAUAGCUGGUCUGAGAGGAUGAUCAGCCACACUGUGACUGAGACACGGCCCAGACUCCUACGGGAGGCAGCAGUGGGGAAUAUUGGAGAAUGGGCGAAAGCCUGAUCCAGGCAUUGCCGCGUGGUGUGAGGA